Chrysemys picta bellii (western painted turtle) is the source of this 1504-nucleotide long non-coding RNA. RefSeq lists it as uncharacterized. The record is from RefSeq and is a predicted model, not a curated record. Lineage: Eukaryota; Metazoa; Chordata; Testudines; Emydidae.
CAGCCCGGGGGCUGCCCUUGCUUUGCUUCUGCUCCAACUCCCCCGGCGGCCCGAAUGAGCAUGUGCGAAGGGUGGGUGCAGAGCUCCUGCCUUUACCUUGCCCCGAGAGCCGCGGUCCAGCGGGAGUGAUAUUUGUAUUUAUUAACUUUAACUGAAGGACUGGAGGUCUGAAAAAGAUACCUUACAAUGAGAGACUGAAGGGGAUCGAUCUAUUUUGAUUAUGGAAGAGAAAGUUAGGGGGCAACUUGAUCAGUCUGCAGUAAUCCAGAUUGCCACCUGCACUAUGCUAUGACAAGGCCACCUGUAACAGUCCAUGCUGCAGCUGUUAGAUUGUUAUGUCAACAAUUCAUGUAUGAAACAAAAGGCCAUGUUUUCUUUUUUGAGGUUUUUAAAAGUUAGACAUAUGUUCACAGGAUAAAUACAAUAGUGAAAUAGCCUUGGGUCCUGGAAACUUUAUAUUUCUAUUUGUAGAAAUGAAAAGUUACAAUCACUCAAAUGCAUGUUCUAAGCAACAGAAUUCAAAGAUAAGAGGACUAAGAAGGAUUAUAUGCGUGUCCAGUAAGGGAACGUUUUAUUCUGUUGGUGGGAAAUGCCUAGGACAGGCAGAUGCCAUCAUGGAUGCUUCAGAUGACACAGAACAGUUAGCAGACCUCUGCCUAUUUUCAAACAUGAUCACUUAUAGAUCUCACUGAUCAACAGACAUGUUCUCUCUAUUUAAAAUACUCAUGAUUUUACUCCUUUAGAUUUCAACAAUAAAAAAUCAAUUUUUCCAAAAUUAUGUGUGACACUGCACCCCAUAUUCUUCAUAGUGGUAAUAUUCUGAUAUGAUUAUGGCAUAAUUAUGAUGCAUUUUGUACAAGACGGAGCAAGAACAGUGUCAUUGGAAAAAUUAUGAUUUGCUGAAUAUGAUCAUCUUAUUUGUAUGCAUAUAUCAUUUUUGUAUCUGAAGUUAUGAAUAUUGACUAUGUAUCUGAAUUUCACAUAUAGUCACACCUGGGCAACACCCACUAGGCAAAAUGCUUCCAGUGUAGAUUACUGUCUGGGAAGGGCCUAUUCAAGGUAAUGGACCAUUAGGAAAAACAAUAGGCCUUAGGAAAAGCUUAUCCCUCACCUGAUGAGACUUCCUGAGAAUGCACCAGACACCCUGUAAGUAAUGGCUGCUAUGAUUCAGCAAGGUAUGCAAGGGUAUGACCAGGCCACAUGACUCUGGACUCCAUUUUGGGAUGUCUGUAUUUUUCUACAAACUGGUCUGGGAACCAAACUUUGAAACAAAGGGUUCCCAUCAUACGCUAAAGCUAUAUAAGGCAGGGAGUGACAUCAUCUGUUGUCCCUCACUCCCCCACAACUGAACACCUAAGAGAAGCUCCUAAAGAAAAGGACUUGGAAUGAGGAUGGGAAUUUGGAUUCCAAAUUGCACAGCAAAGGCAGCUAGUCCCUUAAGAAUCUGCAAGCCUGCUUGUAUCAUCAUCAGUCAGGGUGAGAGACUGCUAAUUCAUAUCCAAUC